GAUGAACGCUAGCUACAGGCUUAACACAUGAAAGUCGAGGGGUAGCAGGGUAGCAAUACCGCUGACGACCGGCGCACGGGUGAGUAACACGUAUCCAACCUUCCCAUAACUCGGGGAUAGCCUUUCGAAAGAAAGAUUAAUACCCGAUAGUACUUUUUCAAGGCAUCCUGAAAACGUUAACUAUUCAUGGGUUAUGGAGGGGGAUGCGUUCCGUUAGAUAGUUGGUGAGGUAACGGCUCACCAAGUCUUCGAUGGAUAGGGGUUCUGGGAGGAAGGUCCCCCACGUUGGUACUGAGACACGGACCAAACUCCUACGGGAGGCAGCAGUGAGGAAUAUUGGUCAAUGGGCGAGAGCCUGAACCAGCCAAGUAGCGUGAAGGAUGAAGGUCCUAUGGAUUGUAAACUUCUUUUAUAGUAGAAUAAAGUGAUCCACGUGUGGAUUUUUGUAUGUAUACUAUGAAUAAGGAUCGGCUAACUCCGUGCCAGCAGCCGCUGUAA
Molecule: ribosomal RNA, 498 nt
Filed under: uncultured bacterium
Lineage: Bacteria
Description: partial 16S ribosomal RNA
Rfam family: Bacterial small subunit ribosomal RNA
Source: RNAcentral